UACGAAGGGGGCAAGCGUUGCUCGGAAUUACUGGGCGUAAAGGGCGCGUAGGCGGAUAGUUUAGUCAGAGGUGAAAGCCCAGGGCUCAACCCUGGAAUUGCCUUUGAUACUGGCUAUCUUGAGUGCGGGAGAGGUGAGUGGAACUCCGAGUGUAGAGGUGAAAUUCGUAGAUAUUCGGAAGAACACCAGUGGCGAAGGCGACUCACUGGCCCGAUACUGACGCUGAGGCGCGAAAGCCAGGGGAGCAAACGGG
RNAcentral lists this ribosomal RNA (253 nucleotides) under uncultured bacterium. Its description in RNAcentral is "partial 16S ribosomal RNA". It matches the Rfam family "Bacterial small subunit ribosomal RNA", at positions 524 to 776 of the family's 1533-position model. The record is from RNAcentral.